UACGGAGGGUGCAAACGUUGCUCGGAAUUAUUGGGCGUAAAGCGUACGUAGGCGGUCCAGCAAGUCGGGUGUGAAAGCCCUCGGCUUAACCGAGGAAGUGCAUUCGAAACUACAGGACUUGAAUACUGGAGAGGAUUGCGGAAUUCCCGGUGUAGAGGUGAAAUUCGUAGAUAUCGGGAGGAACACCAGUGGCGAAGGCGGCAAUCUGGACAGAUAUUGACGCUGAUGUACGAAAGCGUGGGGAGCAAACAGG
Molecule: ribosomal RNA, 253 nt
Filed under: uncultured bacterium
Lineage: Bacteria
Description: partial 16S ribosomal RNA
Rfam family: Bacterial small subunit ribosomal RNA
Source: RNAcentral